UACGUAGGGUGCGAGCGUUGCCCGGAUUUAUUGGGCGUAAAGGGCGCGUAGGCGGUCACGCACGUCCGUUGUUAAAUCGCUCGGCUCAACUGGGCGGGGUCAGCGGAUACGGCGUGGCUGGAGCAAGCUAGGGGGCAAUGGAAUUCCCGGUGUAGUGGUGGAAUGCGUAGAUAUCGGGAGGAACACCAGUGGCGAAGGCGGUUGCCUGGAGCUUUGCUGACGCUGAUGCGCGAAAGCGUGGGGAGCGAUCCGG
Molecule: ribosomal RNA, 253 nt
Filed under: uncultured bacterium
Lineage: Bacteria
Description: partial 16S ribosomal RNA
Rfam family: Bacterial small subunit ribosomal RNA
Source: RNAcentral